This 2080-nucleotide unclassified non-coding RNA is filed under the name Octopus sinensis (East Asian common octopus). RNAcentral's name for it is "phosphatidylserine synthase 2, transcript variant X1". Lineage: Eukaryota; Metazoa; Mollusca; Cephalopoda; Octopoda; Octopodidae. The record is from RNAcentral.
GACUGGUCUGUCUGUCCAAUCAACUGAGCAACAGAUCACCAUGGCCAGCGUCCGAAAUGAGCGCAAGAACCAUGAAGUGUACAAGAUACACAUGGCCACCGCCCAUGAUUGGGAGGACGAGAAAAGGAAAGGGAAGAAAAUCUCUGAUGAUGGAACCAUGACGUUCUUUUGGCGGGCCCACACAUUGACGAUACUCUUCAUAUUCAGUUUCAUACUGGUCUACGUAUCGGUCUUUGAAGAAACCUCACCAAACACCAAUUUCAAUAUCAAAAGGGGCAUUGUAGCUACAGUUUUCACCUUCUUGCUAUUUGGUGUCACACAAACGCCUGAUGGGCCAUUCAGGAGACCACAUCCUGCAUUCUGGCGCCUUGUACUGUGCAUGAGUAUAGUUUAUGAACUGAGUCUUGUCUUCCUGCUUUUCCAGACUGUCCAUGAUGCCAGGCAGUUGAUGACACACCUGGAUCCGAAACUAGGAUCUCCACUUCCAGAGAAGGAUUACGGCGGCAACUGUUAUAUCUUUGAUUCCAACCAUUCAGACCCAUUCCAUAACUUGAAGGACAAGAUGGAUGGUUUCGUAGUAACACACUUCCUUGGAUGGUGGCUUAAGACACUGAUAUUAAGAGACUGGUGGCUAUGUACGGUGUUGAGUAUCAUGUUUGAGGUUUUGGAAUACACCCUGGAACAUCAGCUACCCAACUUCAGUGAGUGCUGGUGGGACCAUUGGAUUAUGGAUGUCCUGGUGUGUAAUGGUUUAGGGAUCUACCUUGGCCUGCAGACCCUCCGUUAUUUGUCCCUCAAGCAGUAUCAUUGGAGGGGCAUGUGGAACAUACCCACCUACAGUGGCAAGCUGAGACGAGUGGCUGCCCAAUUUACCCCCUACAGUUGGACAGACUACGAGUGGACACCGACCAGCAGCCUUAAGCGGUGGAUGGCCAUGCUGGGAGUCAUUGCAAUAUUCUUGCUAGCAGAGUUGAACACCUUCUAUUUGAAGUUUGUGCUUUGGAUACCCCCGGAGCACUACUUGUGUCUGGGUCGGUUGACCCUCUUCCUUGUGAUGGGUGCUGUUGCUAUGAGGGAGGUGUUCCAGUACCUUGAUGACCCGAAUUGUAAGAAAUUUGGUCGUCAGUCAUGGUUGAUUGCAGCUAUCAUCAUUACAGAGUUCCUUAUCACGAUACGGUUCGACUGGGUCACGAUAACCAAGCCAAUUCCGAAGACAAUGGCGUCGUUCUGGUUGGUUGGUUUCCUGUCGCUGCUUCUGUGGACGAUCUGGAAGUUUUACAUCAAGCGUGACGUGAAGAAUGACAUUCCGCAGCUGGAUGCUGCCACGGCGACGGUGGUGAAGCAGACCGUGUCGAUGACGUCGGGGUUGCUCGGGGGUGGCGCGAAGCCUGUCAUGGCGGCGAUGAAGCGGAAACGGCAGCCGGGGAAGCAGGCGCUUCACCAGAAUGACAUUUUGGAUAGGGAUGAUGAGGAGGUGGACGAGGGGAUGGAGGACGACGAGGAUGAGCAGGACAACAAGAGCGGAGUCGAUGACGACCAUUUAUGGUCGUCGCAGGAGUCAUCGCCACGAGUCAAACAGCGCUACACUCGACUCUGAGUCGCACUCAGACAGACACACAGACAGUAGUUUGUCUAGCAUCGUAUUGCACUGAGUGCACUCACGUGUGAAGACCAGCUUCCUCCCCCUUCCUCUGCCUAUCUCUCUUUUCCUCUCCCUCUCUCUCUCUUCCUUGUCUCUUCCUUUCUCAGUUCUUCCUCUUCCUCCCUCUGACCAGCUGCACAUAUUUUUCAACUCCAACCCUCCUCCCUUAUUUUGUCUGUGUGUUUGCAUCGGCAUAUGUGUGUGUAUGUGUGUGUAUAUAUGUGUGUGUGUGUAUAUAUAUAUAUAUAUAUAUAAAUAAAAAUGAUUUUACAUUAAUUUGACAGUUUACUCAAUACUUUUGUUAGGCAAUCCAGUGAUAGCUUAACUGACCAAACUUCAAAGUUACUAUCGAUAAUAUUCUUGCUUAAGAAGAAAUACAUGUGUGUGUGUGUAUAUAUAUAUAUAUAUUUAUAUAUGUAUGUAUGUAUAUAUAUAUGU